GACGAACGCUGGCGGCGUGCCUAAUACAUGCAAGUAGAACGCUGAAGAGAGGAGCUUGCUCUUCUUGGAUGAGUUGCGAACGGGUGAGUAACGCGUAGGUAACCUGCCUUGUAGCGGGGGAUAACUAUUGGAAACGAUAGCUAAUACCGCAUAACAAUGGAUGACACAUGUCAUUUAUUUGAAAGGGGCAAUUGCUCCACUACAAGAUGGACCUGCGUUGUAUUAGCUAGUAGGUGAGGUAAUGGCUCACCUAGGCGACGAUACAUAGCCGAUCUGAGAGGGCGGUCGGCCACCCUGGGACUGAGACACGGCCCAGACUCCCACGGGAGGCAGCAGUAGGGAAUCUUCGGCAAUGGGGGCAACCCUGACCGAGCAACGCCGCGUGAGUGAAGAAGGUUUUCGGAUCGUAAAGCUCUGUUGUAAGUCAAGAACGGGUGUGAGAGUGGAAAGUUCACACUGUGACGGUAGCUUAUCAGAAAGGGACGGCUAACUACGUG
Molecule: ribosomal RNA, 497 nt
Filed under: uncultured bacterium
Lineage: Bacteria
Description: partial 16S ribosomal RNA
Rfam family: Bacterial small subunit ribosomal RNA
Source: RNAcentral